GCUAAAUCAGAGAAAGAGAGAAAAAUCAGAUAAUAAGGUUCUCCAUCACACUAGAACAAGGCUCAGACAAAUUGAUCCAUAUUGCAUAUCCAGUCAAGAUAAUCCUUUAGUAUUAGAUGUAGACAAUUCUGAGCCAUAUUAUCCUUCUGUAUCUAGCCUUCUAUGAAUACUGGCUCAUUAUGUAAUAUAUAUCUCGCUCGGGUAGCCUUUGGAAUAUCUGAGUUUGCAGUUGUGUCAUGUUUCCAGAACAAAUGGUGCUUCUAAAAACUCAAACCGUAGCCCUACCCUAGAAUCCAAAGUCAGAGUUGUUUUUUCAUUGCCAUAUGUGAGAAACCAACAAGCUAAUGCGAGGGAUCCAAGUCUAACACAUCUGAUGCCUAAUGUUCCAGGGACCUCCAAGCAGAGUGUGUUUAUGCUUAUUAGUAUUUUUAAAAGGUAAAUAACAAAGAAAUUUGUGCUGAUUAGAUUGUAGGAUAUGCAAGGUGGCAGAAGCAACUAGCGAAGCAUCCAUAAUGUACUGUACCAUUACGAGAAAUACCUCAAGCCACUUGAGGGGAAAAUAUUUGAGGGCAAGCUACUUGCUGGAGCACUUUCUGGGUGAACAUCUUCAAUUGGAAUGUCCUGACGAGGAGGUCCAUCAUUCAUACUUUCUUGCAGAGCCCGUGCAAGCUGUUCAUCUUCAUCUAGGUCAUGACCAGUAUCUGGUACAUUAUUAUGACACAAAGCAUUACAAUUCAUGGUUCUGACCAACAGUACUCAUUUGUUAAACAAGAACUGCUAUUUGCAAUUCUUUGGUAAGUACUCAAGAAUCAAAUUUAAUAUUACAGGAAUACCCUGUCUAAUAAAGUUGUGUUAUUUUUUUGAACGACAAAGUUGUGUUAUUUUUGGUCCCUAACUUGAGAAAUGAGAGCUCAAUAUUUUAUCCCUGAACUUGCAUAUGUGGUCAAGGCAUGCACAAGCAAUAUUUGGGUUGCUUAUUUGACUUUGCAGUCAUAAUGUGAAAUUAAUGAACAAUUAUCUGAAUGAAUAUUCGAAAAUGAGGUCCAUCAUUCAUACUUUCUUGCAGAGCCCGUGCAAGCUGUUCAUCUUCAUCUAAAUGAUGCCCGGUAUCUGGUUCAUAAUUAAAAUAAAAACAUGACAGCAUUAGAAUUCAUAUUUCUGACUAUCCGUGCUUAUAUGAAUAUGCUUUUCCUCAAACACCUUAUAAAAACC
This 1212-nucleotide long non-coding RNA is filed under the name Sorghum bicolor (sorghum). Its description in RNAcentral is "long non-coding RNA (SBIC_LNC000231)". Lineage: Eukaryota; Viridiplantae; Streptophyta; Magnoliopsida; Poales; Poaceae. The record is from RNAcentral.